UAUUGGUCAAUGGCCGAGAGGCUGAACCAGCCAAGUCGCGUGAGGGAUGAAGGUUCUAUGGAUCGUAAACCUCUUUUAUAAGGGAAUAAAGUGCGGGACGUGUCCCGUUUUGUAUGUACCUUAUGAAUAAGGAUCGGCUAACUCCGUGCCAGCAGCCGCGGUAAUACGGAGGAUCCGAGCGUUAUCCGGAUUUAUUGGGUUUAAAGGGUGCGUAGGCGGCCUUUUAAGUCAGCGGUGAAAGUCUGUGGCUCAACCAUAGAAUUGCCGUUGAAACUGGGGGGCUUGAGUAUGUUUGAGGCAGGCGGAAUGCGUGGUGUAGCGGUGAAAUGCAUAGAUAUCACGCAGAACUCCGAUUGCGAAGGCAGCUUACUAAACCAUAACUGACACUGAAGCACGAAAGCGUGGGGAUCAAACAGGAUUAGAUACCCUGGUAGUCCACGCAGUAAACGAUGAUCACUAGCUGUUUGCGAUACACUGUAAGCGGCACAGCGAAAGCGUUAAGUGAUCCACCUGGGGAGUACGCCGGCAACGGUGAAACUCAAAGGAAUUGACGGGGGCCCGCACAAGCGGAGGAACAUGUGGUUUAAUUCGAUGAUACGCGAGGAACCUUACCCGGGUUUGAACGCAUUCGGACCGAGGUGGAAACACCUUUUCUAGCAAUAGCCGUUUGCGAGGUGCUGCAUGGUUGUCGUCAGCUCGUGCCGUGAGGUGUCGGCUUAAGUGCCAUAACGAGCGCAACCCUUGCCACUAGUUACUAACAGGUAAAGCUGAGGACUCUGGUGGGACUGCCAGCGUAAGCUGCGAGGAAGGCGGGGAUGACGUCAAAUCAGCACGGCCCUUACAUCCGGGGCGACACACGUGUUACAAUGGCGUGGACAAAGGGAAGCCACCUGGCGACAGGGAGCGAAUCCCCAAACCACGUCUCAGUUCGGAUCGGAGUCUGCAACCCGACUCCGUGAAGCUGGAUUCGCUAGUAAUCGCGCAUCAGCCA
RNAcentral lists this ribosomal RNA (991 nucleotides) under human gut metagenome. RNAcentral's name for it is "bacterial SSU rRNA". It matches the Rfam family "Bacterial small subunit ribosomal RNA", at positions 362 to 1354 of the family's 1533-position model. The record is from RNAcentral.